GAUGAACGCUGGCGGCGUGCCUAAUACAUGCAAGUCGAGCGAACAGAUAAGGAGCUUGCUCCUUUGACGUUAGCGGCGGACGGGUGAGUAACACGUGGGUAACCUACCUAUAAGACUGGGAUAACUUCGGGAAACCGGAGCUAAUACCGGAUAACAUUUGGAACCGCAUGGUUCUAAAGUGAAAGAUGGUUUUGCUAUCACUUAUAGAUGGACCCGCGCCGUAUUAGCUAGUUGGUAAGGCAACGGCUUACCAAGGCGACGAUACGUAGCCGACCUGAGAGGGUGAUCGGCCACACUGGAACUGAGACACGGUCCAGACUCCUACGGGAGGCAGCAGUAGGGAAUCUUCCGCAAUGGGCGAAAGCCUGACGGAGCAACGCCGCGUGAGUGAUGAAGGGUUUCGGCUCGUAAAACUCUGUUAUUAGGGAAGAACAAAUGUGUAAGUAACUGUGCACGUCUUGACGGUACCUAAUCAGAAAGCCACGGCUAACUACGUG
This 497-nucleotide ribosomal RNA is filed under the name uncultured bacterium. RNAcentral's name for it is "partial 16S ribosomal RNA". It matches the Rfam family "Bacterial small subunit ribosomal RNA", at positions 28 to 507 of the family's 1533-position model. The record is from RNAcentral.